Molecule: unclassified non-coding RNA, 335 nt
Filed under: soil metagenome
Description: partial contains 5.8S ribosomal RNA, internal transcribed spacer 2, and large subunit ribosomal RNA
Rfam family: 5.8S ribosomal RNA (bases 1-120)
Source: RNAcentral
GAUGAAGAACGUAGCGAAAUGCGAUAAGUAAUGUGAAUUGCAGAAUUCAGUGAAUCAUCGAAUCUUUGAACGCACAUUGCGCCCGCCAGUAUUCUGGCGGGCAUGCCUGUUCGAGCGUCAUUUCAACCAUCAAGCCCCCGGGCUUGUGUUGGGGACCUGCGGCUGCCGCAGGCCCUGAAAACCAGUGGCGGGCUCGCUAGUCACUCCGAGCGUAGUAGUUACAUCUCGCUCAGGGCGUGCUGCGGGUUCCGGCCGUUAAAAGCCUUUUACCCCAAGGUUGACCUUGGAUCAGGUAGGAAGACCCGCUGAACUUAAGCAUAUCAAUAAGCGGAGGA